This 66-nucleotide transfer RNA is filed under the name Pyrgus armoricanus. RNAcentral describes it as "tRNA-His". The record is from RNAcentral. Lineage: Eukaryota; Metazoa; Arthropoda; Insecta; Lepidoptera; Hesperiidae.
AUUUGAAUAAUUUAAAAAAAAAUAUUGAUUUGUGGAAUCAAAAAUAUGAUUUGUUCAUUUCAAAUU